GAUGAACGCUGACAGAAUGCUUAACACAUGCAAGUCUUUGGCGAAGCUGUGCUUGCACAGCCUAGCCAAGGCGGACGGGUGAGUAACGCGUAAGGGACUUGCCCUGCAGUCAGGGAUAACAGACGGAAACGACUGAUAAAACCUGGUAAAGUCAGGCGGACUCAUGUCCAGCCUGAUGAAAAGGAAUGCUGCAGGAGAGCCUUGCGUCCUAUUAGCUUGUUGGUGGGGUAACGGCCCACCAAGGCGAUGAUAGGUAGCCGGCCUGAGAGGGUGGACGGCCACAAGGGGACUGAGAUACGGCCCUUACUCCUACGGGAGGCAGCAGUGGGGAAUAUUGGACAAUGGGGGCAACCCUGAUCCAGCAAUUCUGUGUGCACGAUGAAGGUCUUCGGAUUGUAAAGUGCUUUCAGCAGGGAAGAAAAAAAUGACGGUACCUGCAGAAGAAGCGACGGCUAAAUACGUGCCAGCAGCCGCGGUAAUACGUAUGUCGCGAGCGUUAUCCGGAAUUAUUGGGCAUAAAGGGCAUCUAGGCGGCCGGAUAAGUCUGGGGUGAAAACUUGCGGCUCAACCGCAAGCCUGCCCUGGAAACUAUGCGGCUAGAGUGCUGGAGAAGUGGACGGAACUGCACGAGUAGAGGUGAAAUUCGUAGAUAUGUGCAGGAAUGCCGAUGAUGAAGAUAGUUCACUGGACGGCAACUGACGCUGAAGUGCGAAAGCUAGGGGAGCAAACAGG
Molecule: ribosomal RNA, 732 nt
Filed under: uncultured Leptotrichia sp.
Lineage: Bacteria; Fusobacteriati; Fusobacteriota; Fusobacteriia; Fusobacteriales; Leptotrichiaceae
Description: bacterial SSU rRNA
Rfam family: Bacterial small subunit ribosomal RNA
Source: RNAcentral